Molecule: non-coding RNA, 26 nt
Filed under: Rattus norvegicus (Norway rat)
Lineage: Eukaryota; Metazoa; Chordata; Mammalia; Rodentia; Muridae
Source: RNAcentral
UGAGUUUCUGGAAAGAACAACGGUCC